AGGUUGACAUCUUUGUCACCACCACUGGUAACAAGGACAUCAUUAUGGUUGAUGACAUGAGGAAGAUGAAAAACAAUGCCAUUGUCUGCAACAUUGGUCAUUUUGACAAUGAAAUUGACAUGCUUGGCCUUGAGACAUUCCCUGGUGUGCAGAGAAUCACAAUCAAGCCCCAGACUGACAGGUGGGUCUUUCCCGACACUGGCAGAGGCAUCAUUAUCUUAGCUGAGGGACGUCUCAUGAACUUGGGUUGUGCUACUGGUCACCCCAGUUUCGUGAUGUCUUGCUCUUUCACCAAUCAAGUGAUCGCCCAGCUGGAGUUAUGGAACGAGAGGAGCUCCGGGAAGUAUGAGAAGAAAGUGUAUGUAUUGCCCAAGCACCUUGAUG
This 384-nucleotide long non-coding RNA is filed under the name Daucus carota (carrot). RNAcentral's name for it is "long non-coding RNA (DCAR_LNC005914)". Lineage: Eukaryota; Viridiplantae; Streptophyta; Magnoliopsida; Apiales; Apiaceae. The record is from RNAcentral.